Molecule: ribosomal RNA, 253 nt
Filed under: uncultured bacterium
Lineage: Bacteria
Description: partial 16S ribosomal RNA
Rfam family: Bacterial small subunit ribosomal RNA
Source: RNAcentral
UACGUAGGGGGCAAGCGUUGUCCGGAAUCAUUGGGCGUAAAGAGCGCGUAGGCGGCCCAGUAAGUCCGCUCUGAAAGUCAGAGGCUCAACCUCUGAAUGCGGGUGGAUACUGCUGGGCUAGAGUCCGGAAGAGGCGAGUGGAAUUCCUGGUGUAGCGGUGAAAUGCGUAGAUAUCAAGAGGAACACCAGUGGCGAAGGCGAAUCCCUGGACGAUACCUGACACUGAGGCACGAAAGCUAGGGGAGCAAACAGG